Molecule: ribosomal RNA, 471 nt
Filed under: uncultured bacterium
Lineage: Bacteria
Description: bacterial SSU rRNA
Rfam family: Bacterial small subunit ribosomal RNA
Source: RNAcentral
CGCUAUCACUCCUACGGGAGGCAGCAUGGGGAAUAUUGCACAAUGGGGGAAACCCUGAUGCAGCCAUGCCGCGUGUGUGAAGAAGGCCUUCGGGUUGUAAAGCACUUUCAGUAGGGAGGAAGGUAGUGUAGUUAACACCUGCACUAUUUGACGUUACCUACAGAAGAAGCACCGGCUAACUCCGUGCCAGCAGCCGCGGUAAUACGGAGGGUGCGAGCGUUAAUCGGAAUUACUGGGCGUAAAGCGCAUGCAGGCGGCCUGUUAAGUCAGAUGUGAAAGCCCGGGGCUUAACCUCGGAAUUGCAUUUGAAACUGGCAGGCUAGAGUCUUGUAGAGGGGGUAGAAUUUCAGGUGUAGCGGUGAAAUGCGUAGAGAUCUGAAGGAAUACCAGUGGCGAAGGCGGCCCCCUGGACAAAGACUGACGCUCAGAUGCGAAAGCGUGGGGAGCAAACAGGAUUAGAUACCCUGGUAG